RNAcentral lists this transfer RNA (76 nucleotides) under Punica granatum (pomegranate). Lineage: Eukaryota; Viridiplantae; Streptophyta; Magnoliopsida; Myrtales; Lythraceae. The record is from Rfam by way of RNAcentral.
GGAUGUUUGGGAAGCUCGUUUUAAUUGAUUCGUCUCUUUGCCAAGGAGAAGACGCGGGUUCGAUUCCCGCUAUCCG